UCCUACUAUUGGCUGAUUGGAGGUUGUGUGUGUUGGGGUGGGGAAGCCAAUACUUGGCUGCUGAUGGGUCUGAAAAAGUUCAAGUUUUUCUUACUCUCUCAGGCUUCGUUCCUGAGUCUGUAAAAAUGCAGACUACGGGCUUGGUGUGGAAACUGAAAGGAUCAAUACUCAGAAGGUGCGAUUUUAAAAAUGGAACUUGGCAAGCGGAUUCUAGAGCUCAUCUAGAAAAGAAAAGGCAUGAAAAUUCCCAAGCAAUUUUUGAAAGAUGACAAUAACGUAAGACUUGACCAGCCAGAUAGCAAAUAAAGCUAUAAAACUAUAGUAAUUCAAAAUUGAUUCUGGAUCAGAAAUAAAGUCUAGGAAUACUCACACAUUUAUAUGGAAAUUUUGUAUGUGGUCAAGGUAACAUUUAAUGUUAAUAAGAGAGGAUGGACAAAUACUGUUUUUUCAAUUGGAAAUCCAAUUAGGC
Molecule: long non-coding RNA, 469 nt
Filed under: Equus asinus (donkey)
Lineage: Eukaryota; Metazoa; Chordata; Mammalia; Perissodactyla; Equidae
Description: lncRNA (ENSEASG00005024332.1)
Source: RNAcentral